CUCGCCGUAGUUCAAUGGAUAGAACGGGCGCCUCCUAAGCGCCAGAUACAGGUUCGAUUCCUGUCGGCGGGA
Molecule: transfer RNA, 72 nt
Filed under: Burkholderiales bacterium JOSHI_001
Lineage: Bacteria; Pseudomonadati; Pseudomonadota; Betaproteobacteria; Burkholderiales
Rfam family: tRNA
About the family: Transfer RNA (tRNA) molecules are approximately 80 nucleotides in length. Their secondary structure includes four short double-helical elements and three loops (D, anti-codon, and T loops).
Source: Rfam by way of RNAcentral